GUGCCAGCAGCCGCGGUAAUACAUAGGGGUCACGCGUUGUCCGGAUUUAUUGGGCGUAAAGAGCUCGUAGGCGGUUCAACAAGUCGGUCGUAAAAGUUUAGGGCUCAACCCUAAAAUGUCGAUCGAUACUGUUGUGACUAGGAUACGGUAGAGGUGAAUGGAAUUCCGAGUGUAGCGGUGAAAUUCGUAGAUAUUAGGAGGAACACCAGUGGCGAAGGCGACUCUCUGGGCCAUCACUGACGCUCAUGGACGAAAGCCAGGGGCGCGAAAGGGAUUAGAUA
This 281-nucleotide ribosomal RNA is filed under the name uncultured bacterium. RNAcentral describes it as "partial 16S ribosomal RNA". It matches the Rfam family "Bacterial small subunit ribosomal RNA", at positions 505 to 784 of the family's 1533-position model. The record is from RNAcentral.